AUUGAACGCUGGCGGCAUGCCUUACACAUGCAAGUCGAACGGCAGCAUGGAGAGCUUGCUCUCUGAUGGCAAGUGGCGAACGGGUGAGUAAUGCAUCGGAACGUACCGUGUAAUGGGGGAUAACGUAGCGAAAGUUACGCUAAUACCGCAUACGACCUGAGGGUGAAAGCAGGGGAUCGCAAGACCUUGCGUUAUACGAGCGGCCGAUGUCAGAUUAGCUAGUUGGUGAGGUAAAGGCUCACCAAGGCGACGAUCUGUAGCGGGUCUGAGAGGAUGAUCCGCCACACUGGGACUGAGACACGGCCCAGCCUCCUACGGGAGGCAGCAGUGGGGAAUUUUGGACAAUGGGGGCAACCCUGAUCCAGCCAUGCCGCGUGAGUGAAGAAGGCCUUCGGGUUGUAAAGCUCUUUCGGCCGGGAAGAAAUCGCACAGGCUAAUACUCUGUGUGGAUGACGGUACCGGCAUAAGAAGCACCGGCUAACUACGUGCCAGCCGCCGCAGUAA
RNAcentral lists this ribosomal RNA (504 nucleotides) under uncultured bacterium. Its description in RNAcentral is "partial 16S ribosomal RNA". It matches the Rfam family "Bacterial small subunit ribosomal RNA", at positions 30 to 523 of the family's 1533-position model. The record is from RNAcentral.